Felis catus (domestic cat) is the source of this 756-nucleotide long non-coding RNA. RefSeq lists it as uncharacterized. The transcript has 3 exons. The record is from RefSeq and is a predicted model, not a curated record. Lineage: Eukaryota; Metazoa; Chordata; Mammalia; Carnivora; Felidae.
AUGUAAGUAAGACAACAUCUUGCCCAUGCUUUGCAUCAUUGAAGGCCGUAAUUUUUGGCUGCUCUAUGUGAGUUUCUUCCCUGACCCACGUCAAGGAGUUAUGCUGUGUUGGUAGAGACAGUGUACCUCGGGUCAACCAAAACAUAAAAAAAAGGGACCCUGCCUGCAGAUGCCCAAAGGCCUCAGGACCUCACACCCAUUUCUGAAUGGAUGGUUGGUUUUCCAUUUAAAAUGCUGGCCUCUUUCAACAUGAAAGAUUUAAACCUGCAAACUCUGCAAAAGACAACAGUUUGAGAAGUUGGGGUUGCUGGGGGCAAUCCAAUUUACCAAGGAAACCAGCUGAGCCAUGGAACAACAUGGAGUGGGGUGGCCCACAGCCACAAUGCUAUCUGCAGAAGGGCAUGCUCUCUGUUUCUUUAAGCAGAAACUGGAACAUUAUUCCUUUACCACUGCAAAAAGAGCAAUUCGUUCUUUGCUGGAAGAUCCACUUAUGUAAACAAGACCUCUGUUUUCUGCCUCUGCCACAAAGAAAAGUGUAGUCCCUCUAGAUGGGUAGGAGCCAGAAAGCAGAGGUCAUUGUCUUUUACUUCUCCUUGGUGUCUCUUACUUCCCAAAGCAUUCUAGUUCUUUUUCACUUAAGAACUGUAUGUCAACUGGGCAGUUCCCUAGGGAACUGAGAUUCAGCUAACAGAUCAGCUCUCAAUGCUGAUAGAAGAUGCCAUUCCCAGUUAGAUGCUGAAAUAAACGAAAGCAGAA